Molecule: long non-coding RNA, 769 nt
Organism: Artibeus jamaicensis (Jamaican fruit-eating bat)
Lineage: Eukaryota; Metazoa; Chordata; Mammalia; Chiroptera; Phyllostomidae
Exons: 3
Source: RefSeq, a predicted model, not a curated record
AGCUGUCACCAAAACUUGAUUUGAUUCAUUUUUAAAAACAGCUUUUUGCCUGUGGGCCUGAAGGUUUUUUGAUGCCAUCCAGCUCGGGUAAUCUGCAGAAAAGACUGGGUGCUGGAGUAGCUUCCAGCGGCACCCGGCCCUCACCCACACCCUGGGCAGGGCAUGUUUCCAUCACAGUUGUCAUACACCCUCUCAAGUGACUUUAGGCUAAGAACCUGUCAGCACCCUGAGCUUGGAAAUUUAUGCUGAUGAAACAUGUCUUUUAUCAGUUUCCUAUGUUGGCCUUCUAGGCUGAAAAUAAGAUUCUUCUGGAAAAAUCUACUUGAAAAUGGCAGCCUUGACUCCUCCGUCCUCGAAACUGCCCCAUGAGGCUGGGCUAGGGCCAGAACCCUCUCUCAGCAAAUGGAGAAAUGAAGGCUUGAAGAGGAAGCAUGACUUGUGUGGCGGCUGGAAUCCAGGGUGCUCCGGCCUCCAGCUCUGUGAGAGUGUGAAGAUGCCUUAAAGGGCUGUUGUGAAGACAUAAUGAACAGGCGUGUAAAACUUCUGGCACACACCCCAGUCUGGACUCGGAGUCAGCCUGGAACCCAGGCGCCAGUGGAUGCCUCACCUAGCUUGGAGACAUACAGGCAGCCUCAGAGUGGGCGGAGGCUGAGCUGGGCACCCCGUGCAGCCCGGCUCCUCCCAACAGAGACACAGCUCACAAUAACCCGCUCCACGUGUCCAGGUGUCAUUCUGCAUGGUUGGGAGGGUUCGCUGGUGAGAAGCUGAU